GAUGAAGAACGCAGCGAAAUGCGAUACUUGGUGUGAAUUGCAGAAUCCCGUGAACCAUCGAGUCUUUGAACGCAAGUUGCGCCCGAAGCCAUUAGGCCGAGGGCACGCCUGCCUGGGCGUCACACGUCGUUGCCCCCCCAUCUACUCCUUCGGGAUUGCGGGGGGCGGAUGAUGGCCUCCCGUGCGCCUCGCCGCGCGGUUGGCAUAAAUGCCAAGUCCUCGGCGACGCACGCCACGACAAUCGGUGGUUGCGAAACCUCGGUUGCCCGUCGUGUGCGGUCGUCGCGCAUCGAGGGCUCGAAAAAAUUGCCGGGUUCCGGCUCGGCUUUCAAUGCGACCCCAGGUCAGGCGGGGUUACCCGCUGAAUUUAAGCAUAUCAAUAAGCGGAGGA
This 391-nucleotide unclassified non-coding RNA is filed under the name soil metagenome. Its description in RNAcentral is "partial contains 5.8S ribosomal RNA, internal transcribed spacer 2, and large subunit ribosomal RNA". The stretch from base 1 to 122 matches the Rfam family "5.8S ribosomal RNA", at positions 35 to 154 of the family's 154-position model. The record is from RNAcentral.